GAAAUGCGAUAAGUAAUGUGAAUUGCAGAAUUCAGUGAAUCAUCGAAUCUUUGAACGCACAUUGCGCCCGCCAGCACUCUGGCGGGCAUGCCUGUUCGAGCGUCAUUUCAACCCUCAGAACCCCUUGCGGGAUCUGGCGUUGGGGAUUGGCAUCCAGCCAGCCCCGAAAUCUAGUGGCGGUCCCUCCGCGACCUCCCCUGUGCAGUAGCGAUACCUCGCAGCGGGACAGCGGUCUGACCACGCCGUAAAACCCCCAACUUCUCAAGGUUGACCUCGAAUCAGGUAGGAAUACCCUCUGAACUUACGC
This 307-nucleotide unclassified non-coding RNA is filed under the name plant metagenome. RNAcentral's name for it is "partial contains 5.8S ribosomal RNA, internal transcribed spacer 2, and large subunit ribosomal RNA". The stretch from base 1 to 105 matches the Rfam family "5.8S ribosomal RNA", at positions 50 to 154 of the family's 154-position model. The record is from RNAcentral.